RNAcentral lists this ribosomal RNA (300 nucleotides) under uncultured Sulfolobus sp. Its description in RNAcentral is "bacterial SSU rRNA". It matches the Rfam family "Bacterial small subunit ribosomal RNA", at positions 496 to 795 of the family's 1533-position model. Lineage: Archaea; Thermoproteati; Thermoproteota; Thermoprotei; Sulfolobales; Sulfolobaceae. The record is from RNAcentral.
GAAAACUGGGAGGCAGGUGCUGCGAUGAGACGGAGGGGGGUGCCGUGGUUCGGAAUUACUGUGCGUAAAGGGCACGUAGGCGGCUUGGUAAGUGAGAGGGGAAAGCCCAGGGCGCAACCCUGGAAUUGCCUUUAAGACUGCAUCGCUUGAACAUCGGAGAGGUAAGUGGAAUUCCGAGUGUAGAGGUGAAAUUCGUAGAUAUUCGGAAGAACACCAGUGGCGAAGGCGACUUACUGGACGAUUGUUGACGCUGAGGUGCGAAAGCGUGGGGAGCAAACAGGAUUAGAUACCCGUGUAGUC